RNAcentral lists this ribosomal RNA (675 nucleotides) under Saccharibacillus sp. Its description in RNAcentral is "bacterial SSU rRNA". It matches the Rfam family "Bacterial small subunit ribosomal RNA", at positions 93 to 755 of the family's 1533-position model. Lineage: Bacteria; Bacillati; Bacillota; Bacilli; Caryophanales; Paenibacillaceae. The record is from RNAcentral.
UAGCGGCGGACGGGUGAGUAACACGUAGGCAACCUGCCUUAUAGUCUGGGAUAACUUCCGGAAACGGAUGCUAAUACCGGAUACAUCAUUUCUCGGCAUCGGGAAAUGAGGAAAGACGGCGCAAGCUGUCACUAUAAGAUGGGCCUGCGGCGCAUUAGCUAGUUGGUGGGGUAAUGGCCCACCAAGGCGACGAUGCGUAGCCGACCUGAGAGGGUGAACGGCCACACUGGGACUGAGACACGGCCCAGACUCCUACGGGAGGCAGCAGUAGGGAAUCUUCCACAAUGGGCGAAAGCCUGAUGGAGCAAUGCCGCGUGAGUGAUGAAGGUUUUCGGAUCGUAAAGCUCUGUUGCCAGGGAAGAACGUCCGGGUGAGUAACUGCUCCCGGAGUGACGGUACCUGAGAAGAAAGCCCCGGCUAACUACGUGCCAGCAGCCGCGGUAAUACGUAGGGGGCAAGCGUUGUCCGGAAUUAUUGGGCGUAAAGCGCGUGCAGGCGGCUUGUUAAGUCGGGUGUUUAAGACCGGGGCUCAACCCCGGCUCGCACCCGAAACUGGGAAGCUUGAGUGUAGGAGAGGAAAGUGGAAUUCCACGUGUAGCGGUGAAAUGCGUAGAGAUGUGGAGGAACACCAGUGGCGAAGGCGACUUUCUGGCCUAUAACUGACGCUGAGGCGCG